Molecule: long non-coding RNA, 2354 nt
Organism: Xiphophorus hellerii (green swordtail)
Lineage: Eukaryota; Metazoa; Chordata; Actinopteri; Cyprinodontiformes; Poeciliidae
Exons: 2
Source: RefSeq, a predicted model, not a curated record
CUGCCUGCAGAUUGAAACGCCACGUAUGAGCCACAGGCUGCGGCCGCCGCGCCCUUUGAGCGCCGCGCCGUCGCCAUGGCUACGCAGAUAAAGAUCAGGGCCCCGGGUAGUUAUUAACAAGCGGGAGGAUGAUUCACCACCAAGAGGAAAUCCUGGUGAUGGCAACCGAAACGCUGCGUGUGCAGAAAACUGAAGCAGGAAGAGAAAAACGUAAUUUACUGCUGAACACUGUAAAAACACAAAACCUUACCAAGUCAUUUAGUCUAGUUUUUAUGGCACAUAUCUUAGAAUGCUUGAAAUAAGACAAAACUAACUUACAAGUAACUUUUCAGCAAGAUAUAAGAGCUUGUUUUAAGUUAGUAACAUUGAUGAAAAAGUUCUAGCGCCAUUUUUAUACUAUUUUACGUAUAUCAAGACAUUUUUUCCAGGUUACAAGUUAAAUAAUCUGCAGUAGGACUAAGAAUUUUUCGUCAGUAUUAAGUAAUUACUAGCUUAAAACAAGCCUUUAUAUCUUGCUACAAUUACUUGUAAGUUAGUUUUUGUCUUAUUUAAAGCGUUUCUAAGAUAUUUGCUAUAAAAACUAAACUAAAUUACUUGCUAAGGUUUUGUGUUUUUACAGUGUUCUUUGUAUUAAUUGCCACUUUCAUACUUUCAGCCAAAACGUUUCACACCAACCGUCACAUUUUGUCACUUUGUCACAACAAGGUCGCAGACAUGGCUGCUUAGCAACUUCUGAAAUCUGAAAAGUGUGGCUUGCAUUUGUAACCAGCUACAGUCUCUACUUUGUAGAACCGACUGUCACUGCAGAUCCAGAUGCAAGUCUUACCGGAGAGAGCCUCACUCUUCAAGUCUCGCCCCAUAUUCUUAAUUAGAUUUAGUUCUGGACUUUGACUAGGCCAUUCUAACACAGAUUUCUUGUGCUGUAUAUCAUCCGCUAAGAGGUUUUCUUCCUGUCUUUAGCUCCUCCAGCUCCGACAAAAUGUUUCCAGACAAACAGAAACAUGGCCGUCCUGACCGUCUGCGCUCACAAAUAGCAAACACUUCAUCGUUAUCCCGAAGACGCUCGGCGCCACAUGGACAGAUUAGGAAUGGAGUUUGAGCCCACAGACACGGCAGGAAUCUGAUCCCGACCCGGCAGAGGGAACCGAGGGAACCGAGACCGGCUUCCCUUUUUGUUCGCCUUGUUUCUCCUCUUCCUCUUAUGUAACUGUGAAGCUCAGAGCUGGGAGAAUAAACUCUGAAAACUAAAACACAUCCUGUUAUUCACAAUCAAACUGAUAUCUUAUAUUAUCAGAAACUAAAACUAAAAAAAUGUUUAAAAAGCUCAUUUUACUGCUAAGCGAGACAGCAGUAGAUCACAGGUCUGCAAUGGCUCUUAAUAAAAACAUAUAUAAUAACAAGUGCAGCUUUUUAGCCACUUUUUAAUUGUUUUCCUGCAAUAUUUGCCUUGAAUUUCCACAAAAAAUGCCACUAAAAGCACCAGGAACAUGUUUUCAUAGGUUUCGCAGCAAAAUGUGCAGAGUUAAGUCAACAAGCGAUUGCACAGUUACAACUAUUUCCAGUGUUAAAUUUACUCCAUCUCUUGUUGAAAUAACUGGAAGAGUUAAAUUAAUACCAAUUCAAUUCGGAAAAGAACCAAACAGAUUUAACUCUGCAAAUAUCUUAAAAUGAGACAAAAGUAACUUUUAAUCAAGAUAUAGGAGCUUGUUUUAAGUAAAUAAUUUCUUAAUAUUCAUGCAAAAGCACUAGUGACACUGGUAGAAUAUUUCUUGCUGAAAAGUUACUUUUUAGUUAGUCUUUUAUUUGAAGUGUAAUAAGAUAUUUGCAUUAAAAUGCUUUGCAACAUGUUGUGUUUUUGCAGUGCGUUCGCCCAGUGACUCAUGCAGAUGUUUGGAAUAAAAACAGGCUGUUGUCAAACGGACCGGGUCAUAUGAUUAUCGCUCAGCGCCUCUCUGCAGACUGAAACGUGUCCCGGUCCGACCCAGCAGCCCUUCCUGCCGUGCCACCCGGCCUCGCAUACUUCAUCCCCUCCCCCACUUUCCACCAGCCUCCCUCCCUGUUGUCUGACUGGAAACUCAAACUGGGAAUUCGUUUGAAGAGAAACUACAUUUUUAUUGUGCUUUCUGAUCUGUCUGCUGCUGAAAAGGAACCCAAAGAUAGUAUUAAGUGGAUUUGAAGGCCUGGAGAGCCCGUCCAGGGUUUCCAUCCCCCACCCUGAUAAAAAUAAGUGCCCUGCUCCAGCGGAGAGGAGGGGAUCUUCUCAUGACUCAUUUUCUCCUUGAACGCCAUUCUUCCUCAUUCUUUUGUGGAUCUCUGAUAUAUCAGAUAAAGAUCUGUGCAUACUUGUUAACAUC